RNAcentral lists this ribosomal RNA (460 nucleotides) under uncultured bacterium. RNAcentral's name for it is "partial 16S ribosomal RNA". It matches the Rfam family "Bacterial small subunit ribosomal RNA", at positions 338 to 795 of the family's 1533-position model. The record is from RNAcentral.
CCUACGGGGGGCAGCAGUGAGGAAUAUUGGUCAAUGGGCGCGAGCCUGAACCAGCCAAGUCGCGUGAGGGAUGAAGGUUCUAUGGAUCGUAAACCUCUUUUAUAAGGGAAUAAAGUGUGGGACGUGUCCUAUUUUGUAUGUACCUUAUGAAUAAGGAUCGGCUAACUCCGUGCCAGCAGCCGCGGUAAUACGGUGGAUCCGAGCGUUAUCCGGAUUGAUUGGGUUGAAAGGGUGCGUAGGCGGCCUUUUAAGUCAGCGGUGAAAGUCUGUGCCUCAACCAUAGAAUUGCCGUUGAAACUGGUGGGCUUGAGUAUGUUAGAGGCAGGCGGAAUGCGUUGUGUAGCGGUGAAAUGCUUAGAUAUCUCGCAGAACCCCGAUUGCGAAGGCAGCCCGCCAGGCCAUGACUGACGCUGAUGCACGAAAGCGUGGGGAUCAAACAGGAUUAGAUACCCGAGUAGUC